AGUUCACGGACACAGGACCUUGUCCCCACAUCUGGAUUUCAAGAUUUGAGCUUAGAGAGCAACUGUAAAU
This 70-nucleotide small nucleolar RNA is filed under the name Peromyscus maniculatus bairdii (prairie deer mouse). RNAcentral describes it as "Small nucleolar RNA SNORD107 (ENSPEMG00000026708.1)". Lineage: Eukaryota; Metazoa; Chordata; Mammalia; Rodentia; Cricetidae. The record is from RNAcentral.